GACGAACGCUGGCGGCGUGCUUAACACAUGCAAGUCGAACGGAAAGGCCCUGCUUUUGUGGGGUGCUCGAGUGGCGAACGGGUGAGUAACACGUGAGUAACCUGCCCUUGACUUUGGGAUAACUUCAGGAAACUGGGGCUAAUACCGGAUAGGAGCUCCUGCUGCAUGGUGGGGGUUGGAAAGUUUCGGCGGUUGGGGAUGGACUCGCGGCUUAUCAGCUUGUUGGUGGGGUAGUGGCUUACCAAGGCUUUGACGGGCAGCCGGCCUGAGAGGGUAACCGGCCACAUUGGGACUGCGAGACGGCCCAGACGCCUACGGGAGGCAGCGGGGGAGAAUAUUGCGCAAUGGGCGGAAGCCUGAUGCAGCGACGCCGCGUGCGGGAUGACGGCCUUCGGGUGAUAAACCGCUUUCGCCGGUGACGAAGCGUGAGUGACGGUAAUGGGUAAAGAAGCACCGGCUAACUACGUG
This 468-nucleotide ribosomal RNA is filed under the name uncultured bacterium. RNAcentral describes it as "partial 16S ribosomal RNA". It matches the Rfam family "Bacterial small subunit ribosomal RNA", at positions 28 to 507 of the family's 1533-position model. The record is from RNAcentral.